GUAUAAGAGACAGCAGUAGCCGCGGUAAUACAGAGGGUGCGAGCGUUAAUCGGAUUUACUGGGCGUAAAGCGUGCGUAGGCGGCUUCUUAAGUCGGAUGUGAAAUCCCUGAGCUUAACUUAGGAAUUGCAUUCGAUACUGGGAAGCUAGAGUAUGGGAGAGGAUGGUAGAAUUCCAGGUGUAGCGGUGAAAUGCGUAGAGAUCUGGAGGAAUACCGAUGGCGAAGGCAGCCAUCUGGCCUAAUACUGACGCUGAGGUACGAAAGCAUGGGGAGCAAACAGGAUUAGAUACCCCAGUAGUCCCUGUCUCUUAUAC
RNAcentral lists this ribosomal RNA (314 nucleotides) under uncultured bacterium. RNAcentral's name for it is "partial 16S ribosomal RNA". It matches the Rfam family "Bacterial small subunit ribosomal RNA", at positions 495 to 807 of the family's 1533-position model. The record is from RNAcentral.